Molecule: long non-coding RNA, 2824 nt
Organism: Gasterosteus aculeatus aculeatus (three-spined stickleback)
Lineage: Eukaryota; Metazoa; Chordata; Actinopteri; Perciformes; Gasterosteidae
Source: Ensembl
GUCGUGGAGCGCGUGUGUUCACGUGACGGAUAUACAACUUGUCAUUGGUUUUCCGAAGGGAGCGAGGUUCCAACUGUCCAAUGAACGUUCGCCAUGUUCCGGCAUUUGAGCCAAUCAGCGAUAAGCUUCACUGUACGCGCUCAUUUAACUUCGUUAGUUCAGGAGAAGAUGACUGGGCUACGGCUAAAGCCAGCAGAAGCUACAUCGAACAAACUUCCCUUGUCUGCUUUGUGUUGGUUGGUACAAUGUGCCUUUGUUUGACAGUCUUGUUUUAGGAACAACUGUGUCCUUUUCAGACACUGUAGUUUUGGAUCUAGCUAACGUUAUAGCCGAGCAGCUAGCGUUAGCGCUGAAGCUAACGGCUAACUUAGUUAACGUUAGUCAAUGUUUGCCUGUGUUCCAACCAGCGUCACAGUACAUUUAUAAUUUUGAAGUUAUAAAACGUAUUGGUAUCCAAAGUUUCCUUUCUAGGCUUUCUAUGUUUUGAGUUUUACACGACGGGUUGUGUAGCUGAGAUGAACCACGUUUCGUGGCUAAAGCUAACUAGCUUGCCCUCAAGUGUUUUUGUCGCACGCGGGCAUUGCUGACUGCAUGUUGAUUGAUGAAGAAGGGGUGAGAGUGAUGAGUUGCACUAAUCAGUUGGGGCGUUUGAUGCAGUGGCAUCGAUGCCCCGAUCCGACCCGACCUGAGGACACACUGUGUGCACAGGGGCCAUCUGACUCAACCCUUCCGCUCUUUUCCAAGAAAGGAUAAAAGGAGGCUUGUUUAGGGACAGGGAUCGACUGUUUGCAUGGCUGACCUGCCUGGUUUCUAUGGUUUUGUGUCCUUAGCGGGUGCUGCUGCUGACUGUCCUGAAAUCCAUGCGUUGCAGCAAGAUGGGAGCGGAUGGAUUCGCCUCAGGGUCGAACGUGAAGCAGGAAUUCCGGCCAACUGCCAUGAAAUUCACACCUCUCAGAGAGAUGAGCGGGUGGAGCUGCCUCGCAAUCACAACUUGAAAAGCAAGGUAAAGACGGGAGGAAGUGUCUCCCAGCACAUCCAGGGAGCCAGCGUGGGGGUGAGAGUGAUGAGUUGCACUAAUCAGUUGGGGCGUUUGAUGCAGUGGCAUCGUUGCCCCGAUCCGACCCGACCUGAGGACACACUGUGUGCACAGGGGCCAUCUGACUCAACCCUCCCGCUCUUUAUAGCUGUGUGCAUUAUGAUGUCAUUGUGGGACUAUGUAGCCUAUAAUAGUUUUUGCCCACUGUUGCAUUGGAGGAGAGCAUCAUUACUUCUAUAAUUUGUUAGGAGGGAUUUUAAAAAGACAAGCGAAUCCUGAUUUCUCUUCAAAGACUUGUAGUUUCCAGAAUCUGUACUAAUACUGCCCGUCCUUUUCUUUUUUUAUGUCCACCAACCCGCAGUGGGAGGGUGUCAUGCUGUGGAUUUUCUCGGGCUUCUCCCUCCCAGAGUCCACCAUCAGCGCACUGACCUUGGAGGGCAGCGCCUUCAUUCCUGAAGGUCUGUUUCCUGCUGUGCUGCUAUUCUAACUACAGGAUCAUUAUUUCACCCACACUGUUAUUUGUGUGUCUUAAUGAGUCAUGUUCUCAAUGGAUCAUAAUGUCCUCUGCACAUUUUAUUGUAUUUCUUUGAAGUAAUUUGUUUGCUGUCUAUAUUGCCGUACAAGGACAAUUUUUCAAAAUGGUUGCUACUGACAACGCUUAUUGUCCAGUCCUGGUGCUGCUCAUAUUACACAUUUUGCCUUCCUGGUGUUUCUGACUCUUUCUGGGUUUCCUGCACGUUCCCACUAACAUCCUGCAGUAGUCGUCCCCUCAUAAAGGGCGAAGGAACUCCACCCAAGGAGCUGCUGAGGACAUGCCGACAAUUCGGUCCGCUGUUUUUAUUGAGCGUAAAUCUUUAUACACGUUUGUUCCAUUCACUUUGUCCUUGGGUGCUGAUCCUAAUUUAAAGUCAACCCUUCACUCUUGCAUCUGCUUUAAAUAUUUUCUCAUCAAUUUACUGGCACUUGGAAUCGACACAGCUCUAUUUCCCAGUUAUUCUAAAUCUUUCUGUUCAUUUUUCAAUAACUUUAAAACAAUUCUCUGUAGACAGAAAGGUAGACGUCUGCUCGGAGGAUAAUGUAUGAAGGCGUUUCCACCCGCGUUAAUAACUUAAUACGUUGCUAUUUAUCAUUGAGUAGCUCUGCUGGUCACCGGUGACCCGAUUAAAUCCCACUUGCUAUUUGGACUCUUGAGGUGUUUUGGAAAAUCCAAACCGCCCACUUCAGCGGUUUUCAUUUCAGGGUGUCCUCAUUAUUUCAUUGGUUUUUAGUCUUUUCAUGUCCUGUCUUUUUUUUGUCCCUGCAGGCAGACUAGAAAAACCCUUCCAGAUCCACAGCAGCAGCCCCUGGUACAGCUGCAGGACCCCCACCCGCUGCACAGGUGGCGUGUCCUUGAUGCCCGAGCGGCUGCAGUAUUGACCCGAUACGGGGAGGACGUUCCUGAUGGACGUGUCGGCCCAGAACCGCAUGGUGACCAGUGUGUUCCUUGGAAUAUCUCUCCUGCUGCAUUGUGGGCUUAUUGCUGGUGAGCAACACCAGGGAGGUCUCAUUCAUCCUGAAAUCUAUUUAAACUUUGCUGUCAUCUCCACAAAAGCGGCUUAAACGUGCACAAACCCUGUCGGGGGCCGUGUGUCGGUCUAAUGGGAACUCUCUGUAUCCUAAUGUGGGCAAGUCCUCUCAGUAAUGGCCUUCUCGCCUCUGCUUCCUCCUAAAGAGAGCAGCAUCAUCAUCAUCAGAGGCCACAGCUCAUCUUAAAUAUCUCCACGGUCAUUGAAUAAACCUUUAAAAUCA